GACAGAGGAGCCAAGCGUUGUCCGGAUUGACUGGGCGUAAAGCGCACGCAGGCGGGGGUGCGCGUGGGGUGUGAAAUCUGGCCGCUUAACGGCCAGGCGCCAUCCCAUACGGCACGCCUGGAGCCUUGCAGAGGUCGGUGGAAUUGCCGGUGUAGUGGUGAAAUGCGUAGAGAUCGGCAGGAACACCCAGGGGGAAACCAGCCGACUGGGCAAGUGCUGACGCUGAGGUGCGAGAGCGUGGGGAGCGAACAGG
RNAcentral lists this ribosomal RNA (253 nucleotides) under uncultured bacterium. RNAcentral describes it as "partial 16S ribosomal RNA". It matches the Rfam family "Bacterial small subunit ribosomal RNA", at positions 524 to 776 of the family's 1533-position model. The record is from RNAcentral.